GAAUACGACCAUACUAUCAGGAAUACACCACAUCCCGUCUGAUCUGUGAAGUUAAUCCUGAUCAGGCCGAGUUCGUAUUGAGGUAAGUGAUUACUCGAGAAACCUUGGUAUUCUUCC
Perkinsela sp. CCAP 1560/4 is the source of this 117-nucleotide ribosomal RNA. The record is from Rfam. Lineage: Eukaryota; Euglenozoa; Kinetoplastea; Prokinetoplastida; Perkinselidae.